AUCAAUGGAUCAGCAACAAAUCUUCCAGACAGUAGUGGACGUUCUUUUGUAACAUCUUUCUCUGGUCAGUCUGGUGCAGCCUCUCCUGUUUUCCAUCAUGCUAGCAAUAUUCAGGGUUUGUAUAAUAUUCAUGGUAGCUUUAAUGUUCCCAACAUACCUGGUACACUCGCAUCAAGAAACUCAAUAUUAAGUAAUGUUCCAACUGUUGGGGUUCAACAACCUACUGAGAGCUUUUCUGGUGGAAGAUUUGCAUCAAAUAAUCUUUAUGUUUCUCUUUCUCAGUUAUCUCAUGGCAGCUCCCACGGACAUUCAGGAGUAACAAAUAGGGGAGGUAUUAGUGUUGUAGGAAACCCUGGAUUUAAUAGUAACACAAAUGGA
Long non-coding RNA from Hibiscus syriacus, 378 nucleotides. RefSeq lists it as uncharacterized. Lineage: Eukaryota; Viridiplantae; Streptophyta; Magnoliopsida; Malvales; Malvaceae. The transcript is spliced from 3 exons. The record is from RefSeq and is a predicted model, not a curated record.